UGACCUUAUCUAUGACACAACCUCUCUCAACUUCCAGUUUCCUCCUUUCUUCAAAUGAGUAUAUUGGGCUAGAUAUCUCUGAAUUUUAAAUUCUCUAUGGAGCUGUAACUACAGUGGGGUGAACAAGGUUAUAGCUUAGGGUUGUAAAACACUGAGAGUAAACUGCAUCCAACUGGGAGAGGCCAUGGACUGUCAUGAAAGCUACUGGUGGCACAAUGAAGGUGAAAGCUGAGGUGGGACCACGAAGCCUUCCCAGAUUCCAAAUGAGCUCCUCCUCUGUUCUAGCCCAACCUGUUUCCUCUUAGCUACAACCUCUCCAGCAUCUGACUGAGCUGCCUUUCUUUUUGUGAGUUAUAACGAGAAAUGAAAAUUUAUUUUGCAUGAGUGAGGAAGAACGGGACGCUACCUUCAGCAAAAGGCCAACAAGCCUCUUUCUGCCUUAGGGGCUGAGAAAAUUGGUGAGAUUAAUCUCCACAAUGCCUCAGCUCCAAGUUUCCCACAUGGCUGACCACUGAAAAUGCCUCAAGCCACAGAAGAAGGAAAGAGAAGACAAAGCCACCAGUUGUCUUGGUAACUGAAAGUUAUGGAAGGAAGAAGAAAGACAAAAUUUGAGAGCUCUGAAGACCUGAGAAGCAGCCUAGUAUGGCUGAAGAACAAUGAAGAAACCUAGGGCAAUGCUGGCACACAGAGGGUCAGUCUCUGGCCAAACAGUGGCUGAACACAACACAGCUGAUGGCAGAGCUGGCAAAAGAUUCACCACGUCACACAAGAGUGUGAUUCUACACAAGAUCCAUGAGAUUACUGGCCACAACUGUGUAUGACUCAGACUUUGUUCCAAGCUCCGAGACAUCAGGAGCCCCCUCCCCUAGUGAGAUCCAGAUUCUUUCCGGACCAGAAAUAAUAGUGACCUGAAAUCAACACAAUCUAGACAAAAGGCAUUUUUAUGAAGCAGUUGCAAAGAUCCCACACAUUUCUCCAGGAGAAAAGGGUUAAAAGUAGCUAGGGCUGGUUGUUGUCAAAUGGUCAAAGGGAAAGACUGGCAGUUUGGAGGGCUUUGCGUCACAAGGUAUUGCCUAGAGGAGGCACUACAGAAUGGUCCAGUUUAUUAUCGUAUUCUGCAGAAGGUCCAGGACUCGCAGUAGGGAAGGCCUAGGUUCGGAUUCUGCCUCUGAUGCUGGUAGUGUCACUGCGAGCAAGGUGCUUUCACUUUUCUGAAACUCAACCUCCUCAUCAUUAAAUGGUGCCAAUUAAUAUCUGAAGUGCCUACCUCAUAGGGUUGUUGGGAGCCUUAGAUGAGAUAAUGUCAGUAAGUGCUUUGCAAGCUUGAAAAUGCCAUAUAAAUAUCUGGUAGUAUUAUUAUUAUUACCCCUUUUAACUUCAGCCAUAUUAGUUUUGGCUCACUGUUCUAACCUGUACAGACACAUUUGGAUCUUGACUCAUCUAUCCUUUUGAACUAUCCAUCCCAACUUUGUCAUCUGCAGACUAAGUGGGCCACCUGUUUUCAUCCAAGGAAUUACCAAAAAUAUUGACUAGAACAGAGCCCACGCCAGUCCCUGAGGUGCACCACUAGAGACUCCUCUCCAAGUUAACAUCUAUUCACCACUGAGUACAUAAGUCAUUAACUGUGGUCAUCUACUACUUCUUAAUCCACCUGACUGUAUUUUAAUCAUACAAUCCAUCUUGAUCUCAAGGAUGUAUGGAGAGACUUUGUCAAAUGCUUAGCUGAAAUCUAGGUGUUCCCCAACCUGCCAGUAGAAAAAACCCUGUCAAAAAUGAUUGUUCAUUCACUAAGCAAUAGGUGGUCAUGAACAAACUGCAGCAGAGGAGUGGAAGGGAACUCGAAACCAUGCCAAAAGAGCUGAAAAAACCAGCAAUGCUAGCCUGGAGAAGAGGAAACAAGAGAAACUUCACAGAGUUGGAUUCAAAGUACUGUAAGAGCUAUCAUGUGGAAGAAGCACGAGACUCGUUCUGCCUGGCCCCAGAAGAUGGAAUGGAUGGAACAGGACAAACAGGUGAACGUUGCAGGAGAUUUUAGCUUAAUGUAAGGGGGAAAAAAAAAGGUUUGAGAAUUAAAGUUACCUAAAGUGGAAUGCACUGCUUCAGCACAGUGAGCUCACUGGAAGUUUUCAAGUACAGACUGACUACCUUUUGUCAAGGACACUACAGAGAGGAUUCUUGCUCACACACUUACUGGUCUUUGAGUUUCCUUCUAACUCUAAGGUUCUGUGCAAUCUUUUUUCCUGCUACAUGUGAGGUUGGGGAGUAGAACCCAGGGCUGUUUAGAGUUGGAUGAAUAAAUUACAAAAGAUAAAACCGAUCAUUGGGAUGACAUGAAACUGAAAAGCUUCUGCACAAACAAAAUUAAUACAUCUGGGAUAAGAAUGAAUGUGGCCAAGGGCAAAAAAAAAAGUUAGUAUCAAAUUUCUUAAGAUAAUAUUUUGGUAUCUAAGGUAAUAUUAAAUAACUAACAGAUACACAUGGUGUGCCAAAAGUCUUAGUGUAGUUUCCUGAAACCGCAUUAAGAUUUUUGGAAGGUGCCACGUUAAAGACCAAAAGCCAUUUCCCAAUGCAUAUGUGGUCAAAGGAUGGGAACAAAUAGUUCUUAAAAGACUCACCAGCUCUUAAGAGUCACGUGAAAGAAGGCUGUGAAACAUUAAUAAUAAAAUAAAUGCAAAUCAAACAACCCUUGAUUUGACUUCAUAUCCAGUCAAUUGGCAAAGAUGACAAAAGACGGGAAUAGUCAAUGCUGGAGAGGUUGUGGGAAGAUAAGCACACUAGUGCAUUUAGUACAACCAUUGUGGAAAGUAUUUUGGAAUUAUACAAAUAAAGUGACUAA
Non-coding RNA from Phascolarctos cinereus (koala), 2836 nucleotides. NCBI's taxonomy places the organism in Eukaryota, Metazoa, Chordata, Mammalia, Diprotodontia, Phascolarctidae. The record is from RefSeq and is a predicted model, not a curated record.